RNAcentral lists this non-coding RNA (23 nucleotides) under Cricetulus griseus (Chinese hamster). Lineage: Eukaryota; Metazoa; Chordata; Mammalia; Rodentia; Cricetidae. The record is from RNAcentral.
AGCAUCACAAGUAUUAGAGGCAA